Molecule: transfer RNA, 85 nt
Filed under: Chloroflexota bacterium
Lineage: Bacteria; Bacillati; Chloroflexota
Also listed under: 1 other name
Description: Chloroflexi bacterium (marine sediment metagenome) tRNA-Leu
Rfam family: tRNA
About the family: Transfer RNA (tRNA) molecules are approximately 80 nucleotides in length.
Source: RNAcentral
GGGGAAGUGCCGGAACUGGCAGACGGGCGUGGCUUAGGACCACGUGCCUACGGGCGUAAGGGUUCGAGUCCCUUCUUCCCCACCA